This 129-nucleotide ribosomal RNA is filed under the name Pteropus alecto (black flying fox). Lineage: Eukaryota; Metazoa; Chordata; Mammalia; Chiroptera; Pteropodidae. The record is from RNAcentral.
UUCUCAGAGCAUACUUUUCCAUUUCCUGACCUCAAGCAAAUAUACACUCUGAUCUCGGAAGCUAAGCAGAGUCUGGCCUGGUUAGUACUUAGAUGGGAGACCACCUAAGAAGACCAGGUGCCUUAGGCA